UACGUAGGGGGCAAGCGUCGUCCGGAUUUACUGGGCGUAAAGAGCGUGUAGGCGGCCACGCAGGUCCGUUGUGAAAACUGGAGGCUCAACCUCCAGCUGUCGACGGAAACCGUGUGGCUAGAGUCCGGAAGAGGAGAGUGGAAUUCCUGGUGUAGCGGUGAAAUGCGCAGAUAUCAGGAAGAACACCAAUGGCGAAGGCAGCUCUCUGGGACGGUACUGACGCUGAGACGCGAAAGCGUGGGGAGCGAACAGG
Molecule: ribosomal RNA, 253 nt
Filed under: uncultured bacterium
Lineage: Bacteria
Description: partial 16S ribosomal RNA
Rfam family: Bacterial small subunit ribosomal RNA
Source: RNAcentral